UCAGGUCAAGGACUUUGCCAUGCUCUGCCACUGAGGAGGUGCACAAGAGGCAAGCAGAGCCAGGACAGCUGACCUGAACUGGCCAAAGGGAUAUCCCACACCAUGCUCAGUGUAUCAGCUGGGAAGAGCUGGGCAGGAAGGGUCACUCGCUGCUGGGGGACAGGACAGGCAUCGGUCAGCAGCUGAUAUUGUGCAUCAGUGCUUGUUCUCAGGUUGAUGUCGACUUUGACAACACCUCUGAAAACAGAGAGAAACAGCCUUGAACACAACCACACAAAGAGAGACAUUCAAGCCUCUUCUCUGCAGCUCAACAUCCUUCUCCAGCAGGCAUCCAAGCCCUCUCUCCACACUUCUGCCAGCUGGCCCUGCAAUAAAACCUGAUACAUCAGAAAGCUGCACAAGCCAGCAAUAGACCACUGAUGUCUAUGAAAGCCAAAAAAAAAGUUUCCUACACACGUCCUGAAGGAUCAUCUGAAUUGUGUAAGUCCAAGAAGUCUCCAGGUUUCAUCAGCAGCAGUUUACCUCAAAAAUUCUUUUGAAAUAAAAGCUAACAAGCCAAUUUCAAAGCUGACACUCUAUUUUAUAAAAAGCUUGCAAAUCAUCAAAAGAAAAAAGGUACAAGACUACAGUUCUAUAUAUUAGGAAAAAAAAGGCCUUCAAAGAUUCACAUAUUCUUCAGAAUGACCUAGGACAUUUAUAGCAUCAUUUUGUCAGAGCAUGUCAUCUAUGACUGCUUUGCUGCAGUCCAGACUUGACAAAAAUGUCAAUAUGCAAUUUCUAGUUGCUACAUCAUUACACAAACUCAUUCAUAGUGGAUGAAUGCUCUGUGCUAAUUUCUUAAACCUAGAACACCAUUCCUUUCAAGUCAAUCAUUUCAGCAGCUUGGGACAGGUGUUUUCAUUUCCACACCCUGGAUUUCCACAACUACAAACACCAUUUCUCUUCUUUCAGGCUGUGAACUAACAAGGGCAUGGCCCAGCCUCCAUCCCAGAAGCACCUCAUUCACCCCAAAGUGUGUUCCCUCUUUAAAUUAACACAG
This is a long non-coding RNA of Prinia subflava (tawny-flanked prinia), 1039 nucleotides long. RefSeq lists it as uncharacterized. The transcript has 3 exons. NCBI's taxonomy places the organism in Eukaryota, Metazoa, Chordata, Aves, Passeriformes, Cisticolidae. The record is from RefSeq and is a predicted model, not a curated record.